Molecule: long non-coding RNA, 1796 nt
Filed under: Homarus americanus (American lobster)
Lineage: Eukaryota; Metazoa; Arthropoda; Malacostraca; Decapoda; Nephropidae
Description: uncharacterized LOC121859234
Source: RNAcentral
UUCAACAGGAAGAGUUUAGUAGUUUAGAAGCAGCGCUUCCUGAUACCGAUGUGUUGUACAUGACCCGUAUUCAGAAGGAGAGAUUUGCAACUCUUGAAGAUUAUGAACGGGCAUGUGGCCACUUCAUUGUUACUCCUCAUUUGAUGACACGUGCCAAGCGUCGUAUGAUUGUCCUCCAUCCCCUGCCCAGGAACCAAGAAAUAUCUCCAGAACUUGACACAGACCCCCGAGCAGCCUAUUUUCGUCAGGCUGAGGGUGGAAUGUAUGUAAGAAUGGCCCUCCUUGCCAUGGUUCUUGGAAAGUGUUAAUCAUUUUUAAUGUGUUGUUCGGGAAAUACGAUAAAUUGAUUGGCGUUAAGUUUAACAGGAAAUACCAUUAAAGUGGAAAAUUUCACAAUCACUUUAUGCAGUAUUUAUGCAGUAUUAAUAGUCUUUUUAUAUCUGAAACAAAGGUAAAAUUAUUUCAGUCUGUUGGUAGUCAGACAAAGUGAAGAAAGUUUCAAAAGAGUAGCUGAAAAAGGAUAUAACUUCAGGCUAUCUUUGCCGAAGGCUUUACUAUCUCCCAUCAAUCAACUCAUAAAAGAUGAAAUGAUUAAAUUAAAGAGGCUGUUAUAUAGGUACUCAGUGAAACUUAGAAUGGCAUAAACAGAUUUAUUUAGAGAACAGGCUGCACAUAUUCUAAUCUAUCUUGUAAAGUAUACCAAAAAAGUGUUUGAGUUGUUGAAAGUCUUGUCUAAUUUUGCUAAUUGAAACAAUUAAAUGUUUACAAAGGUUGUACUUAUACGGUUAAACUAUACUAAUAAUCCCUUAUGGAAUAUAGGUACAGACCCUCAAAACCGGAUCCCAGAAAACCGGAGAUUCUCGAAACCAGAUCCCAGAAAACCGGAGGUUCUCGAAACCUGGACAUUUCUUCCUUGGGAUUGGUUAAAUAUUCUUCCUCUGUUAAAUCAAGAUUUGUUUCCACAGACAGAUUCAGUUGAAUGUUUGUUUUACUUAUUUAAUAACAAAAUAAGAAAGACAGCUUUGCAAACAUACUCUAAGAAAAAUAAAUACUGUCUAUUCAGAAGUUAAGAGUUCCUAAAAAGCCAGUUAAAUAGCCUAGGUUUGUUUACAUCUCAAAACGGACAGCAGCUUUUGUCAGGAAACAUUUUCCACAAGUAGAAAUAAUUACUGUCUGAUUUGAAUAAACAGCCCAAUACCUUGAAUAUUUUUAUAUUAAUUUAUAUUUAUAGAAUAUUAUGGUUGUUCUUACUGUGUUUAUUGGUAAAAUUAGACGAAAAAUUUGAGGCAGCAUCUGGCAUAAGUUAUCUCAAAUCUUUGGUUAAUUUUAUCAAUAUUAACUCCAAAUAAAAAAUAUAAAUCAAUGUAGUAGGGCUAUUUAUUCAAUGGAAGAAUAAUAAUUUAUGGACUCAACACAAGAUAUGUCUUGACACAUUAGAAACAGCUGUAACUCCAAUAACUAUUUUAGGGAUCUCUCAACUUAGAGAUAGACUGGCUUUAAGGUUUAUUUUUUUCAGAUAUGUAUGCAAUGCUGUUUUCUUUAUUUUUUUAAUUAAGUUCAACAAACCUACAACCUAAUUGUGUGCAGAAGCAAACAAAUCUUGAGGUAGUCUACUGAAUGACUCGGGACCCAGGAAACUGGAAAAUCUGUAAACACGGUUGGCUUUGGUCCCUAGGGUCCCAGAUUUGAGGGUCUAAACCUGUUGUACAGUACAGUACUGUUUUUGUGAAGGCUAUACUGUAUAUUGUUGACCCUUCAUUUUGAGAGCUUGUAUCAUAUUAAACACAUACUCACCA